CAGUAGCCGCGGUAAUACGAAGGGUGCAAGCGUUAAUCGGAAUUACUGGGCGUAAAGCGUGCGUAGGCGGUUUGUUAAGUCUGUUGUGAAAUCCCCGGGCUCAACCUGGGAAUGGCAAUGGAUACUGGCAAGCUAGAGUGUGUCAGAGGAUGGUGGAAUUCCCGGUGUAGCGGUGAAAUGCGUAGAGAUCGGGAGGAACAUCAGUGGCGAAGGCGGUCAUCUGGGACAACACUGACGCUGAGGCACGAAAGCGUGGGGUGCAAACAGGAUUAGAGACCCCUGUAGUCCCUGUCUCUUAUAC
RNAcentral lists this ribosomal RNA (301 nucleotides) under uncultured bacterium. Its description in RNAcentral is "partial 16S ribosomal RNA". It matches the Rfam family "Bacterial small subunit ribosomal RNA", at positions 509 to 807 of the family's 1533-position model. The record is from RNAcentral.